Colias croceus (clouded yellow) is the source of this 596-nucleotide long non-coding RNA. RefSeq lists it as uncharacterized. The record is from RefSeq and is a predicted model, not a curated record. NCBI's taxonomy places the organism in Eukaryota, Metazoa, Arthropoda, Insecta, Lepidoptera, Pieridae. The transcript has 2 exons.
GAGCAUUUUUGUCUGUAGGUAUUUGUAAAUUUUGCAAGUGCAAGUUUGAAGUCGGUUGUUUUUAACGCAGUUAUCACUUGUAAUUAUUAAAUGUAGUUUUAAAGUAUAUCUGGUUUCUUUUGGGGCCUCCGGCUGAGGGAAAUGUAAUUGGCGCAGUCGGUAGGAUCCUCAAAAAACGUGGUAUAGAUAGUAACCUUGCUAUCGCUACGGAGCUGGGGAUCCGGAAUCUACGGUUUCUGCGGCCUGGAGGCUAAAUCAAACAUUGACCCCAAAGGAACCAAAUGUGCUAUAAUUUUGCCAAUCCUGAACAACUGUACGUGAUCCGACGCAGAUGAGCUUCCAGCGACAUUUUUCUACGGAGUCAAAAAAUGGUCGCUGAACUGCGGGGGGAGGUGGUACGUCCCGGCCAUAACAGCAACUGACAGCUGACUACGCCGUUCGCAUGGGAACGGAAUGCGAGCGUGGUUUUGCUGUGAGCUUUUAAGACUUCUUUAGAAUAAUUAUUAAAAAUGUAUAAUAAUUCCUUAACUCCGGUCUGCAUCGAGCAGACGUGGUUGUAAAGUCUCAUUUUAAUUAUUAAAUAUAGUUUUAAAGUA